Drosophila navojoa is the source of this 121-nucleotide long non-coding RNA. The record is from RefSeq and is a predicted model, not a curated record. Lineage: Eukaryota; Metazoa; Arthropoda; Insecta; Diptera; Drosophilidae.
UUCUUUUGCAUUUUCGCACCGCUCAAUUACUUGAACCACCAAGUGCGCCAUUUCCGUACCAUAUGCUCCAAAGGCGUAUAUGCAUAUACAUAUAUAUGUAUGUAUAUAUAUGUAUGUGUAU